Non-coding RNA from Cicer arietinum (chickpea), 7662 nucleotides. NCBI's taxonomy places the organism in Eukaryota, Viridiplantae, Streptophyta, Magnoliopsida, Fabales, Fabaceae. The record is from RefSeq and is a predicted model, not a curated record.
CUUGAGUUUGAUUUGCUGAUCUCUACACGGAAUAUCAUGAGUUCUUUUUGUUUAUAUGUCUCUUUGUCGGUUCUAAGUGUCUAGUUUUAUGGACUUUGUGAUUUUUCCUUUGGUGUUCUAGGAGAGGUAAUCUAUGAACUCUUGGUCACACAUGGAAGCUAUGGUGGAGACCCAUUCUGCUUUAGGUUUAAAUGCAAUCAAGACAACGUUUCUUUUUGUUCAAUUUAUUCAUCUCUAUUUGAUUUAUGGAUGGACUUCUUGUUUUUCAAUCUCUAUUCUGAUUGAUUAGUUUUUGUCGUUUGCUUCCCUUUUGUGAUUUCUUCAUGGGUGUUACAGGGUAUGAAUGUUGGUGAGAUGUGGUAGCUUUUGAAGAAUAACAAUCUUGGUCUCCAACCAUGGGAAUAAAAUCACUCUUUUUAUUUGUUUUUGUUAUUUAUGAAUAUUUUUAAGAUUUGGCUUCUUGACAGUGAGAACUGAAUGUUGUGGUCGUUGUGUUUUUCUGUAGAAUUAUAUAUAUUUCCUAUGGCAGGAUGGGGGGUUUAGGACGUCAUGGCUGGGCUCUAUAUUCCUGCCUCUUGGUUUGGAUAAAUUUGCUACUCUUUUACUUUUCAUUGGAAGUUUUUGAUAAUGUUGAUCUAUGAAUGAUCUCUUCUCCUAAUUAAGUAUCAUCUUGGUUACAGUGGUACAUGAGAACUGCCGUUGGAGUUUGGUUAAAUUGUCACUUUUAUAUAUUGAGCACUGCAGUCUGCAAUCAUCACAAUUGAAGUUGGAAUUUUAAAGGGAUUUUAUCAGACAAUAACAUGAACAGCUUAGGGUUAUUUUACUUUGACGAGUUUGUUUGUCUUUUUUUGUUUCUUGAAUGUUUGCACAUAUGAAUUAAAUUGUGCACUUGUUUUUGUGCAGUUAAGUGUUUGAGAGCAACAUUACAUGAUAAAUCUAGCUUCAUGCACAAUUAUGGCGACACUUUCCUGGAGUUUGAAUUCUUGGUUCUUUGACAUAUUUCUCUUCCAUUUCACGAUUUUGAAGUCUGAUAUUUUGUGAAUUAUUGAAUAUAACGGGUUUGGUAUCAUCAGUUUGUGUGUGUUUAUUGUCUUGCUUCUUUAUCAGUUAUCACUUGAUAAUACUUGCCACUUAUCCACUAUCAAUUAUCACUUAUCACUUAUUAGUUAUCACUUUUUACUUAUCAACUAUCGCUUAAAAGGCUAAGAAUUACUUAUGUGAGUUGAAGUUCUCAUUUUGCAGCAAGCUGGAGUUUUGAUGUGUUUUCUAGAAGGCUAAAAAUUACUUGUUCUCAAGUGUGUUUUAAGAUUCUUGGUUUGGAAGGCUAAGAACGGCAAAUGGUUUUGGAUUAAUCUAAUUUAUUAUGUUUACCUUUAUUUUUCUGUCUAUUGUUUUAACACCAGUCAUACACAUUGGAUUGUUAACCUGUUUUUCAGCAGCGUAGUGUAAACAUCCUUCAUAGUGUUCAGCCUUGAUUUGUUGCUCUGAAUUGUAUUUCAUGAAUUCUUUUUAUAUCAAUAUUUCUUUGUUGAUUCUAAUUAUCUAGUUACCUCAAUUUGUGAUUUUUAUUUCGGUGUUAUAGGAGAGGUAUAUGAACACUCAGUGGCACAUGGAAACUAUGGCAUAUAUUGUCAAGGACUUCCUAUUCAGCAUUAGGUUUUUAAACACAAUCAAGACAAAAAUUCUUUUCAUUCAAUAUGAUUAUCUCUAUUUGGAUUAUGGGUUUGCGUUUCCAGUCCUCCUUAUCAAUUUCAAGUGUUUAGUUUUAUCAAAUCAUUCCUUUUUGUGAUUUCCUCUUGGGUGUUACUGGGUUAUUAUCAAAGUUGGUGGAUCUUGGAUUUUAGACCACCUAGGAAACAAAAUCAUUAUUUCUUCUGUGAUUUCUUAUGUAUGUUCUGAGAUUUGAUUUCUUGACAGUCUUUGUGUUGGGCUCUUUGUUCCUGCCUCUUGGUUUGGAAAAUUUUGCUACUCCUAUACUCUCUAUUGGAAUAUUUUUUAUAAUGUUGAACUACAGGAAUCUCCCUCCUCCCUAAUCUUCUUCCUAACCUACCUUUGCAUUAGAAGUUGAUCAAAUUGUCUGUAAAAUAUAUUGAGCACUGCUAUCUGCAAUCAACAUAAUUGAAGUUGGAAUUUUCAAGGGAUAUUAUCAGAUAACAUCUAAGAUCAUUUAACUUGUUUUAAGAGUUUAGUUUCUUUUUUCUGGUCUGAUACACAUUUGAAUAAAGUAGUGCAAUUUGUUUUUGUGCAGUUGAGUGUUCGAAUAUUGUUGGGCAACAUUUUAUGAAGAAGUUAGCUUCAUGCUUAAUUAUGGUGACCUUUUCUAGUUUUCACGGUUCCUACUAUUUUUCUUUCCACAAUUUCAAAUACUUAUUGAACACAUGUUAUGUGGUUUGGUAUCACCAGCUUAUCUGUUUGAUGUCCUUAAUUGUGUAGGGUUUCUUUUCUUUUCUGGGUAGGGUUUGUUUCUGGAUAUGAGCCAUACAUGCGCAACUUCUUGGUGGGUUCGAGUCUUCGUACCUCUUGAGUUUGAUUGCCGUUCUUCACACGUCAUGUCAUGAAUUAUUUAUGUAAUUUUGUUUGUUCUAAGAAUUUGGAAUUUUGCAUGUGAUUUUCCCUUUUAGUCUUGUAGAAGAGAGGCCAACAAUGACUUAAAAGCUAAGGAAAAGAUUGUCAAAGAAUUCCUACAUUAUUAGAUUUAAUAACAAACAAGAGAAGUAUUAUUUUUGAUUAAUCUGUUCGUGAGUUGGCUGGUAUUGUUCUUGAGAUUUGUCUUCCAGAUGGUUUGUUUCUAUAUGGUUCCUUUUUCAGGGUAACUUAUUUUUAUGUUUUGCUUCCAUAAUUUGGGAUUGUUAGGGUAUGCUUAUUGAUAUGAUGAAGACCUCGAUAAUCUGACGCUUCUCUGACAAUUCUUUCGGUAUUAUUUCUUUACUAAUCAUGGAGGUUAAUAAUAUGGAGAUUAAUAAUGUGUUGCAGUGUUCAACUACUUGUGUUUAUCCCUUCCAUGUUCGAUGGUUUUGCUUAUUGAAAGACUGGAUCUAAACAUUAAGAAUGCUUUACAAUUAUGAGUCUAAUUUCUUCUCUAUUAUUACUUUUUGGCUAUGGUUUCAACUUUCAACACAAGACACACAUUGAUUUAACCUGCAUUUCUGCAGCUGUCUAUCGAAUUAAUACAGUCAAUUCAUAGCUUUGAGCCAUUGCUACCACCUCGAGUUUGUUUUGCUGAUCUUUAUGUUUUCAUAUUAUUGAGUUUUAUAUGUUUGAAUUUUUGAUUAUAUGUUUGUUUGUAGUUUUUUAUCUCUAUGCCAUUGCUACAGGUGUGUAUUUUUAUGGAUUUGUAAUUUCUUCUUCAGUGUUGUAUGGAAGGUAAUCGUUAGAAUUUAGAGUCCUUUUGAUUGAAUGCAUGAAAAUAGAUAAAUUUUACAAGAAAAAUAUGUUUAUGUUAAAAAAAUAUUAACAAAAAAUAAUUAUUAGUUGUGACAAAGUUUCAAAACUCAAAUUAUAUAAAAUCUAUAGGAUAACUGUGGUUAGGGUGGCUUGAUAUCUGUUAAUUUUAAUUGAUUCAUGUGGUGUAUGUUGUAAUUUUGGAUUCUAUACAAUAUUAUAUAUUUUAUUUAUUCAUUAUAAUGUUUGAUCUUAAUGUUUCAUUUCAAGCUCUUGGUGGCACGUGGAAGCUAUGGUGGAGAUAAUCCAGGAUUAGUUGUUCUUUUUGUUCAAUAAGAUCUUUUUGUUCAAUAUCUCUUUUUGUUCAAUGUCUCUGUUCAGAUUAUGGAUUACGUGUUUUCAAUCUUUCUAUUAUUAUUCCUUUUAGUGGUUUCUUCUUGGAUGUGGCAAGUGUAGAGCGUUUUAAUUGUUAACCUGUUGAUCUGCAGUGUAGUGUAACAUCCUUCAUAAUGGUCAGCAGCCACUGCCUCAAAUUCUUUUCAUUUCAUUAUUUCUUUGUCGAUUUUAAUUAUUUAGUUAUGUCAAUUUGUGAUUUCUUCUUUGGUGUUAUAGUGGAGUUAAUCUAUGUGACCACACUGUGGCACUUCGAAACUAUGGCGAAGAUGGACAUCCCUUCUAAUAUGAUUAUCUCUAUUUGGAUUAUAGAUUUGUGUUUCUUCAUUUUCCUUUUCUAUUUUUAGUGUUUAGUUUUAUCCAUAUUUCAUUAUUUCUUUGUCGAUUUUAAUUAUCUAGUCAUGUCAAUUGUGAUUUCUACUUUGGUGUUAUAGGGGAGGUAAUCUAUGUGACCACACUGGCACUUCGAAACUAUGGCGAAGAUGGACUUCCCUAUAUGAUUAUCUCUAUUUGGAUUACAGAUUUGUGUUUCUUCAUUUUCCUUUUCUAUUUUGAGUGUUUUGUUUUAUCAAUUCAUUUCUUUUAUUGCGUUACAGGGUUACUAUGAAUAUUGUUGGGGUCUGGUAGCCGUGUAGAAGAUUAUAAUAAUCUUGAUUUUUGGCCUUGGGAACAAAAUCAUUUUUUUCUAUGCUUCUGUUCUAGAUUGGUUGUCCUUAUGUUUGAUGUUAAGAUUUGAUUUAUUCACUGUGAACUGGAAUGUGGGUGUCUUUGUAUUUUCAAGGGAAUUCAUACUUGUCAGCCGAAGAAUUAAGGACAACAAGUCUGGGCUCUUUGUUUGGAAGAAUUUGCUACUCCUAAACUUUUUUAAUGAAUUUUUUUAUAAUGUUGAUCUACACCGAAUCACUUUCCUCCUAAUUAGAUAUCCUCUUCCUUACAGUGGUACAGAGAACCAGCCUUUGGAGUAUAAAUUGAUGAAAUUUUUGAUAUAUUGAGCACUUCUAUCUGCAAUCAAAUAAUUGAAGUUGACAUUUUCAAGGGAUUUUAUCUGAAAAUGUCAAAGUAAUUAUGUCAUUCAUAGCGCUGAGCCAUCGCCAUCGUCUGAAGUUUGAUUUGCUGAUCUCUAUGCAUCAUGAGUCCUUUUCGUUUAUUUUUCUUUGUUAUGGACUUGUGAUUUCUUCUUCAGUGAUAUAGGGAUGGUAAUCUAUGAACACUUGGUUUGACAUGGAAGCUACGGUGGAGAUAAUCCAGGGCUAGUUAUUGUGUUUGUUCAAUAGGAUUAUCUCUAUUCGGAUUAUGUUUUCUGUGUUUUCAAUUUCUAUUUUUAGUGUCUAUUUUUAUCGAUUAAUUCCUUUUAGAUAUUUCUUCUUUGAUGUUACAGGGUUAUAAAUGUCGGUGGCUGCUGUAGCGAAAGACUAUGGUCCCCAACUUCUAUCUCUGUUUUGGAUUGGUCUUCCCUAUGCUAGGUUUAAGAUUUGAUUUGUUGACAGUGGGAUUUUAGGACGAUAUGGUUGGGUUCUUUGUUCAUGCUUCUUGGUUUAGAUGAAUUUACUAGUCCAGGUUGUCUGUUGUUUAUAUAUUUAACAUGCAAUCAACAUAAUGGAAAUUGGAAUUUUGAAGGGAUUCUAUCAGAAUAAUAGCAUUAAGAGCUUUAGGGUUAUUUAACUUUGAUGAGUAUGCUUGUCUUUCUUUUUGUUUUUGAAUGUCUGCACAUAUGAAUAUUAAAAAUUGCAUUUGUUAUUCUGCAGUGAAAUGUUUGAAAAUAGUUGAGCAACCUGAAAAAUCUAGCUCCUUGCAUAAUUAUGGUGACAUUUUCCUAAAGUCAGAAUUCUUGGUUGCUUCUUCUCCAUGCUUAUUUUUCCUACCUGUGAUUUUAAGUAUUUGAUUUUUGUGAAUUAUUGAAUAUGAUGGGUUUGGUAUCAUUUGUUUGUUUGAUGUUGUCAUCAUGCUUCUUCGUGUAAACAAUUGGGGAUUGUUUCAGGAUUAGAAAUAUACAAGUGCACAACACAGUUCUGCUUGGUGGAUUUUGUCUUCAUUCUGGAUUGCUUUUGCCUACAAAAUUUGCUCCUCAAGGUGGAAGAACUGAAUGAGUAGUUUUAUUCAUGUUCCUAUAUGUUUCUUUAUGAAGUUCUGAGAUGUAUAUGUAGUUUUAUUAGAUAUUGAAGUUUCUUCCUAGAUUAUGAUGUACGUUCAGCAUUUGGAGGAUUCAACUUGGUGAGAGUUGCUAUGAUCAUAAUAAUUUUUAUGUAUCAUGCUUCUUAUGCCUUUGUUAAUCAAGGGAGUCUCUUGGGUCUUGUGAUUUCAAUGGAGCUGCUAUGAUCACCACCACUGAGCCUAGUGAGUGACAUCUAUAAGGCUCUUCUUAGUUAUAUGUUCGUUAAUUCCCGAGUAAUUGCUCUUGAAUGUGCACCAAAUUGGAUCUGAUAUGCAUUAGAAAUUUUUGAUUUUAAUUAAGACAUUAAUGCCAUAGUUAAUACCAAUUGGAAAUUCUAUUUCACCUCUUAUGACUUUUCCACCUUCAAACACAUUAUUAACUGACAUGAACAUCUUUUUCAAAUUCCUCCAACAAGUUAAUGUUAACAAGACGAAUUUUAUCAUUUUCCAUGGUGAUCGGAGAUGAGUGCCUUAACUCUUUAGAAUGAUUGUCUGCUUUGAUUGGUUUCGAUUUCAGAGUUUCUUCUUAUUUUUUAUGACUGAUACUUAUUCUUACUAUUCUUGAGAAACACUCCUUGGUUCAUCUAAAAAACUGAUACUUAUUCUUACUAUUCUUUUAAAUCAAUUCUUUGAUUGAUAUUCUUCGUUUAAUCACAGAGAGAUAAAUGUGUUGAAGUGUUGCAGCAAGCUGGAGUUUUGAUGUGUUUUCUGAAAGGCUAAAACUACUUGUGUUCUAGGGUAGAGUGUUUAAGAUGUGUUUUGGAUGAAUGUAAUUUAUUCUGCAUUACCUUUUUUUUUCUGUCUAUGGUUUUAUCACUGGACAUACACAAUACACAUUGAAUUGGUAGCAUGUUUCUCUGCAGAGUAGUGUAUCAUAAUAGAAAUAUCGUUCUUCAUAGUGUUCAGCCACCACCUCGAGUUUGAUUUGUUGAUCUCUAUUGCUAGUUAUAUGAAGUCUCAUUUCAAUAUUUCUUUGCAAUUCUAAAUAUCUAGUCAUCUCAUUUUGUGAUUUGUACUUCAUUAUAGGGUUAUCUCAAUUUGUCAUGUAGUAGGGUUAUAGCAUGCAUUUUUGUCAGUUCUCGACCAAUAUUUGAUUUUCUAUUCAAUUUGAAGAAAGCCAACAAUGCAUGCAUUACCAUGAGCAAACUGCUGUAUUUAUGACUACAUUUUGCCUUUAAAUGGUUUGUGCAAUAUUUAUUGUCACUUAGUCAUUUUUCAGCUUUGGUGUCUUUAAGUGACAGAGUGAAGAAGACUUGUUCAUGGCUUCCUUGAUCUGCAACAUGGAUGUUGAUUGUGGAAAGCUUCUGGUCUGCAAACCAGACUUAGAUUGUGUGAAGACUCUGCAGUAUGAUACAGAGUUGAAUUGUAAUGCUGGAAACUCUGGCCAUAUUCAUCCAAUUUACAUUAAAUACUUGAACAAGUGAUGUUUCAACAACAUACUUCAUGGGAAACUCACCAUUCCUAUUUCUGGAUGAAUUUAUAUAUAUGUUGCCUCUGUUGGGAAUAUACCAGGUGAUAGCUGUCAAAGCACGGGUUUUGUAUGCUUCAUUAGUUUAUCUAUAAGAUUUUAGAAUGUUUUGACACUUUGACUACUAGUUUAAGUUUUGUUGUUGGUGUAAACUAUUUUAUACUUUUAUAUUAAUAAUUAGUUAUUGUUGCUAUAUUUGUUAAGAAUAUCUUCCUAGUGUAUUGCAAAUAAAUAGUUAUGUUUAUGACAUAUUUUAUGGGUUUUAUCUU